RNAcentral lists this long non-coding RNA (217 nucleotides) under Helianthus annuus (common sunflower). RNAcentral's name for it is "hypothetical non coding rna". The record is from RNAcentral. Lineage: Eukaryota; Viridiplantae; Streptophyta; Magnoliopsida; Asterales; Asteraceae.
GUUAACCGAGACAACAUUCAAGACUUUGGAUUGGAUGGCACGAACACUAUGCUUCACCCUCCCUUUUUCAAUGCUUGCUUAUCCUUUUUACAUGUUGGCAGCAUCUGUUGAAGUUUUAAGGAAGGCGCAGUUGUGAUUGAAAAAUAGGGAAGCUUUGUGAAAUGUGAACGAGCCAUAUUGCAAUUUUAUGGGAAGAGGCGACCAUGGUGGUGGAGGU